This is a non-coding RNA of Limulus polyphemus (Atlantic horseshoe crab), 1296 nucleotides long. NCBI's taxonomy places the organism in Eukaryota, Metazoa, Arthropoda, Merostomata, Xiphosura, Limulidae. The record is from the annotation of a RefSeq genome assembly.
UUUUAAAAUCUUAUUUGUUUGUAAUUUAAAAGUAUUUUAUUAGUUGAGUAAGUUGUAUUGAAUGAUUUUGGAUGAUUAUAUUUUAUUAGUACUGUGAAGGAAGGAUGAAAUAUGGUGAAAUAUUUAUUAGGAUAUUAGAAAAGAUUAAAUCUUGUACCUUUUGUAUCAGGGGUGAAUAAUUGAAAUUAUUUAUUUAUUUUUCCCGAAGGAAAGAGAGUUAAUAUGAAAUUGAAAUUGAUGUAGUAAAAUCAAGUUUUAUUUUGUGUUGGAGGUGAAAUGUCAAGCGAUCUUUUUGAUAUCUGGUUCUUUGAGAAAUGAAUUUAGUUCAGCUUUUGAAAAUAAAAGUUAUUUUUUUUUAUUUUUUUAUUUUCAGGAAGUGAGUAUCUAGGGGAUAAUCUCUAGAUAUAUUUAUAAGGUUUGUAGGAAAGAUUAGUUGUAGAUUUAGAAAUGAUCAUUUUGUGUAAUAGUAGAUUUAUUUUUUUUUAUUUUAUUUUUAGGUUUAGUAUCAAGGAUGUAUUGAUAAUUGUUAACAAAUUUUUAAAAUGUUUGUAUUAGUAGAAGUGAGGAGAGUUAGAAUUGUUAUUAAGGGUUGUAGUAAAAAAGACUGUAGGUUAAUUUUUUUUAAGGAACUCGGCAAAUAUUUUUUUCGCCUGUUUAUCAAAAACAUGGUUUUUUGUUUUUAUGAAAAAUCGGACCUGCCCAAUGAGGAGAUUUAAUGGCCGCGGUAUAUUGACCGUGCGAAGGUAGCAUAAUCAUUUGCUUUUUAAUUGAGGGCUAGUAUGAAUGGUUGGACGUAAAAAAAUCUGUCUUGGAAAUAGAUUUUGAAUUUUAUUUUUUAGUGAAAAAGCUGAAAUUUUACUAAGGGACGAGAAGACCCUAUUAAGCUUUACUUUUUUGGUUUUUUUUAUUAAUUUUCGGUUGGGAAAGGCUAAGAGAGUUUUACUGGGGCGGUAGAGAAAGAAACUUAUCUUUUUUUUUAUAAUAAUACUUAUUUGUGAAUUUUUGACCCACUUUUAGUGGUAAUAGGAGUAAGUUACUGUAGGGAUAACAGCGUAAUUUUUUCGGAGAGUUCUUAUCGGCGAAGAAGUUUGCGACCUCGAUGUUGAAUUAAAGAGUCAGUAGGGCGGAGAAGUUCUAUAUGAAGGUCUGUUCGACCUUUAAAUCUUUACGUGAUUUGAGUUCAGACCGGCGUGAGCCAGGUCGGUUUCUAUCUUUAGUUAUUAGGGAGGAUGUUUUAGUACGAAAGGACCAAACAUUAUAAAUUUUGUUUAUUUUAUUUAUUUUUAUUUUAUGUUA